This 499-nucleotide ribosomal RNA is filed under the name uncultured bacterium. Its description in RNAcentral is "bacterial SSU rRNA". It matches the Rfam family "Bacterial small subunit ribosomal RNA", at positions 25 to 518 of the family's 1533-position model. The record is from RNAcentral.
CAGAUUGAACGCUGGCGGCAGGCUUAACACAUGCAAGUCGAGCGGGGAAAUGUAGCUUGCUGCAUUACCUAGCGGCGGACGGAUGAGUAAUGCUUAGGAAUCUGCCUAUUAGUGGGGGACAACAUCUCGAAAGGGAUGCUAAUACCGCAUACGUCCUACGGGAGAAAGCAGGGGACCUUCGGGCCUUGCGCUAAUAGAUGAGCCUAAGUCGGAUUAGCUAGUUGGUGGGGUAAAGGCCUACCAAGGCGACGAUCUGCAGCGGGUCUGAGAGGAUGAUCCGCCACACUGGGACUGAGACACGGCCCAGACUCCUACGGGAGGCAGCAGUGGGGAAUAUUGGACAAUGGGGGGAACCCUGAUCCAGCCAUGCCGCGUGUGUGGAGAAGGCCUUUUGGUUGUAAAGCACUUUAAGCGGGGAGGAGGCUACCGAGAUUAAUACUCUUGGGUAGUGGACGUUACUCGCAGAAUAAGCACCGGCUAACUCUGUGCCAGCAGCGGC